This 253-nucleotide ribosomal RNA is filed under the name uncultured bacterium. RNAcentral describes it as "partial 16S ribosomal RNA". It matches the Rfam family "Bacterial small subunit ribosomal RNA", at positions 524 to 776 of the family's 1533-position model. The record is from RNAcentral.
UACGGAGGGUGCAAGCGUUAUCCGGAUUCACUGGGUUUAAAGGGUGCGUAGGUGGGCAAGUAAGUCAGUGGUGGAAUCUCCGGGCUUAACCCGGAAACUGCCAUUGAUACUAUUUGUCUUGAAUACUGUGGAGGUCAGCGGAAUAUGUCAUGUAGCGGUGAAAUGCUUAGAUAUGACAUAGAACACCAAUUGCGAAGGCAGCUGGCUACACAAAUAUUGACACUGAGGCACGAAAGCGUGGGGAUCAAACAGG